GACGUAGGGCGCGAGCGUUGUCCGGAUUUAUUGGGCGUAAAGAGCUCGUGGGCGGCUUGUCGCGUCGUCCGUGAAAACUUGGGGCUCAACCCCAAGCUUGCGGUCGAUACGGGCAGGCUAGAAUUCGGUAGGGGAGACUGGAAUUCCUGGUGUAGCGGUGAAAUGCGCAGAUAUCAGGAGGAACACCGGUGGCGAAGGCGGGUCUCUGGGCCGAUAUUGACGCUGAGGAGCGAAAGCGUGGGGAGCGAACAGG
This 253-nucleotide ribosomal RNA is filed under the name uncultured bacterium. RNAcentral describes it as "partial 16S ribosomal RNA". It matches the Rfam family "Bacterial small subunit ribosomal RNA", at positions 524 to 776 of the family's 1533-position model. The record is from RNAcentral.